CAGUAGCCACGGUAACACGUAGGGUGCAAGCGUUAAUCGGAAUUACUGGGCGUAAAGCGUGCGCAGGCGGUGUUGUAAGACUGAUGUGAAAUCCCCGGGCUCAACCUGGGAACUGCAUUGGUGACUGGCAGGCUAGAGUAUGGCAGAGGGGGGUGGAAUUCCGCGUGUAGCAGUGAAAUGCGUAGAUAUGCGGAGGAACACCGAUGGCGAAGGCAGCCCCCUGGGCCAAUACUGACGCUCAUGCACGAAAGCGUGGGGAGCAAACAGGAUUAGAUACCCCUGUAGUCCCUGUCUCUUAUAC
Molecule: ribosomal RNA, 301 nt
Filed under: uncultured bacterium
Lineage: Bacteria
Description: partial 16S ribosomal RNA
Rfam family: Bacterial small subunit ribosomal RNA
Source: RNAcentral